AGAAACAAACAAAAAAUUUUGCAACCACAAAAUUCAUAUAUUGAUGUUUUACAAGGAUGAAAAUCAUUUUUUUUCAAAGUACAAUUAAUUUUGUAACACUUGAAUUGGGUUUUGCUUUCAAGCUUCGGGUUUAUCAAAUAUGAAAGCGUUUUGGCUUUUGACAGAACUUGGAACAUGUAGAACAAAAGGUUAAAGACUCUACCUUUGCUUAGCUCAAUAGCUAUCAAAUUCAAUCAAAAAUAAAUUAAUAUCAAAAUCAAAACCAAUAAAUAAAUAAUAAAAUAAAAUAGAAAAUUAAAGUGUGAAGUAGGAACCAACCAGAACGAAUGAGGCCUCUGUUGUAAGAACCUUUCCUUAAAGAACCCGAAAGCGCAGCACCUUAAUCACGGACGAGGAUGCUCCGGCCACCGCUGCCAUGUUUUCUAAAUUCUAGUAAUGUGCGUUCUUUUCUUUUGUUGUCUCGAAACAAGGGUGAUCAGGGAGGGAUAUAUAUAUAUAAUAAAUGGAGUGGUCCGGGUCAAAGUUAUGGUGUGGGCCUGUGGGGUAUGGCAUGGAUUCUCUGCCGACAGGUUCA
This 574-nucleotide long non-coding RNA is filed under the name Glycine max (soybean). Its description in RNAcentral is "long non-coding RNA (GMAX_LNC000829)". Lineage: Eukaryota; Viridiplantae; Streptophyta; Magnoliopsida; Fabales; Fabaceae. The record is from RNAcentral.